This 74-nucleotide transfer RNA is filed under the name Danio rerio (zebrafish). It matches the Rfam family "tRNA". From Rfam's summary of the family: Transfer RNA (tRNA) molecules are approximately 80 nucleotides in length. Their secondary structure includes four short double-helical elements and three loops (D, anti-codon, and T loops). The record is from Rfam by way of RNAcentral. Lineage: Eukaryota; Metazoa; Chordata; Actinopteri; Cypriniformes; Danionidae.
GUCUCUGUGGCGCGAUCGGUUUGUGCGUUUGGCUGUUAACUAAAAGGUUGGUGGUUCAAGCCCACCCAGUGACG